UUCCGAGAAUUAUUAUUUUCUUUCAUUGUCUCAGUUGCAUUAUUUAUAGUAAUAAGACUUUAAGAAAAGUCAAGCUGUAAAAGUCUCAUCUGCGUAUUACAUUAUUUGCUGUAAAUUUCGCGUUCGCCAAAAACGCUCUCUCUGCUCUCGUCCGCGGUAAAGCCAGAGACCUGAUAACACACGGUGCGACGUGCGUUAAUAAGUGCCUGUGCAAUGAGCCCUCCUCGGACAAAUUCCUUGCCAUUUGCACCCACUCACCCUCCAGCGCAAAUGAAUCCUGCACAACAAUGCAGAAGGAGCGUAGUGGACCCUCGGCUGCUAAAUUUCAAUUUGGCGAUGCAUCGAUUGUUUUCUUUCCCUCUUCAUUUCCAUGAGAAGUUCAAAAUUGCUCUACUUAUUCCUCUGUCUGAAAAUGGCCUCUUCUAUAUCAACGAGUGUGGGGUGGAACUAUUGUGUUGCUAUUUCUGUCCGUUGAAAUUCAGCAUCGAGGAAUAUUGUGAUCGCGAAGGCCUCAAUUUAGCUAAGAUUAUCGAAGAGCACAAUAAAUUUGACUGUAAUAUCGGAGCUCACGGCUCAAAAAAUAUCGCAAUAGGCGAACGAAUCAUACUGAAUAACAAUUUUGAAGCGCAUCGUCUGUUUUCAAUUCUGAAAAAGACCGACUGGAAGUAUGUGGAGCCGUUUGAUUUAGCCAAAAGCGGAUUUUUCUACAUGGGAAACAACGAUGCAGUUUUUUGCGUUCACUGCAACGUGAUUGUCGAAGGCUGGGAGCCUGGAGACACACCAGACGGAGAGCACAGGAAAUGGAGCCCGUCGUGCCCGUUUUUGUGCAGCCACAGCAGCGUCGUCAACUACCCUAUCGGAAGCGAGCCCCUCGAAGGGCAGCACGAUGGCAUUGGAAAGAAAUCCACAGGCGCUAACCCAUUCCCAUUGGCACAAUCAGAUCAACCACCAGCUCAAAUCACGGAAGAUCAGGGUGCACAGCUGCCUGCUGCAGCCCCUCAGGGGGAAGCUGAAGCCCCUCAGGGUGAGCAAGAUUUUCAAGACGAGCCUCAGCCCUGAAUUUGAAAAGUGGCCUUGUUUUUUGUCAAUUCUGAGGUCGAUUUUAAUAAAAAUAAUUUUUAAAUACGA
Molecule: long non-coding RNA, 1128 nt
Organism: Cloeon dipterum
Lineage: Eukaryota; Metazoa; Arthropoda; Insecta; Ephemeroptera; Baetidae
Exons: 2
Source: RefSeq, a predicted model, not a curated record